Mauremys reevesii (Reeves's turtle) is the source of this 801-nucleotide long non-coding RNA. RefSeq lists it as uncharacterized. Lineage: Eukaryota; Metazoa; Chordata; Testudines; Geoemydidae. The transcript is spliced from 2 exons. The record is from RefSeq and is a predicted model, not a curated record.
UGAAUUUAUAAAGUGCUAUGAGAUCAUCAUCUCUUCAGGGAAGGAAUUUAAGUGCAAAUAUCAGGUAGAUAUAGAGAAAGCAUUAACAUGGAUGGCUGACUGGAAAACUCCAGUAUUCUAAGGUUUGAACCUUUGCAUGAAGCUUCCUCCCCGAAUGACAAUCAAGAAGGAAUUGGCUCUGUCUCAGUCUCAACAUAUGUGUGGGCAAAAAAUGAAGGAUCAUCCCACUCCCUCUCACACCAUAAAGCCUGAACCUCAGCGUUUCAGCAAAGUACGCCAUGGAGCAGCAAUCAACAGGUGCUGACUUCAUCCCCUUGAAGGACCUGUGGGAACAAUAGAUGCAAAGUGCUUGGGAAUCCUUUGGACAAACUGUAGGGUUUUAUCAUCUGCUUGGCAGAUUGCCUCUUACUCCCUGUCUGAGCAAAAACAGUAUUGCUGUGAAAACAAGAGGAAAGGCUAAUAACUUCCAUGGGAAGAUAGGGAUGUAUACCUUCAUGUCUCUGUGGGAGGUACUCAGAUACCAUGGUGAUGGCUGCCAUAUACAAACCUAGCUAUCUGCAGCUGGUUCAGUAACAGCAGCAGAAAGCUCUAUUUUAAUCACGGAAUGAAAUGCCAGGGGUGCUGCUCUCCAGGAAAGCAAUCUCGUUUGUAUAGAACCCUAGGAAUUCAAUCACUCUCUAAUCAAAUCUUAUGCAUCUGCCCAAAACACAGCUGUCACCGUAUGGCUGACAUUUUUUGCUCCCUUUUGCCUGCCCAAACUUUGGAGGUUUUUAAAGGCAUAUUGCCAAGUUGAAAAUUGAA